This 465-nucleotide ribosomal RNA is filed under the name uncultured Klebsiella sp. RNAcentral's name for it is "bacterial SSU rRNA". It matches the Rfam family "Bacterial small subunit ribosomal RNA", at positions 338 to 795 of the family's 1533-position model. The record is from RNAcentral. Lineage: Bacteria; Pseudomonadati; Pseudomonadota; Gammaproteobacteria; Enterobacterales; Enterobacteriaceae.
CCUACGGGCGGCAGCAGUGGGGAAUAUUGCACAAUGGGCGCAAGCCUGAUGCAGCCAUGCCGCGUGUGUGAAGAAGGCCUUCGGGUUGUAAAGCACUUUCAGCGGGGAGGAAGGCGGUGAGGUUAAUAACCUCAUCGAUUGACGUUACCCGUAGAAGAAGCACCGGCUAACUCCGUGCCAGCAGCCGCGGUAAUACGGAGGGUGCAAGCGUUAAUCGGAAUUACUGGGCGUAAAGCGCACGCAGGCGGUCUGUCAAGUCGGAUGUGAAAUCCCCGGGCUCAACCUGGGAACUGCAUUCGAAACUGGCAGGCUAGAGUCUUGUAGAGGGGGGUAGAAUUCCAGGUGUAGCGGUGAAAUGCGUAGAGAUCUGGAGGAAUACCGGUGGCGAAGGCGGCCCCCUGGACAAAGACUGACGCUCAGGUGCGAAAGCGUGGGGAGCAAACAGGAUUAGAUACCCGGGUAGUC